RNAcentral lists this unclassified non-coding RNA (1673 nucleotides) under Megachile rotundata (alfalfa leafcutting bee). RNAcentral's name for it is "translation initiation factor eIF-2B subunit gamma, transcript variant X8". The record is from RNAcentral. Lineage: Eukaryota; Metazoa; Arthropoda; Insecta; Hymenoptera; Megachilidae.
UGCAGCUGCGGGUAGACCUUGACAUCCGCUGUCGUACAAUAUGUAUAAUCCCUCCGACUGAACGUCGCUGUACGAUAACAAUUGUGCCAAGACUCUUGAAGCUGAAGUAUCUCCUCCUUAGAAAGUUUCUGGGAUGUGCCAUCGUCGGUGAUGGUGCGAUUAUCGUUGCCGCUUGCGAAUAUAAACAAUGUUUCCUCACAAAGAAUUUCAAGCGAUUGUACUUGCUGGUGGAGGAGGAUCUCGUAUGACGGAACUCACUCAUGGAAAACAUAAAUGUUUGUUACCGAUUGGAAAUGUGCCGAUGAUUUGGUAUCCGCUUCAAUUAUUGGAGAACACUGGCUUCAAAGAAGCCAUCGUUGUCGUAUCUGAAAAUAUGGAAAACAGUGUACUGUCGUCUAUCGCCAAGUUGAAUUUAAAAAUUAAGGUGGAUAUUGCUUCCGUUGAAGACGCGGAAGAACUUGGUACUGCAGAUUCUAUCAGACUGAUUCACGAAAAAAUAUAUACAGAUUUUUUGGUAAUCUCCUGUGAUUUGAUCGCCGAUGUUGACAUAUCUGAAGUUUUAAAUCUGUAUAGAAAACACAAUGCCAGUAUCACGGCGUUGCUGUUACCUACACCCAAGGUGCCCGAGGAUUUUGUAACUCCAGGCCCUAAGAAUAAACAGAAACCGGAGACUGAUUUGAUCGGUAUUGAUAACGAAACAGGACGUUUGGUUUUCUUAGCCUCUGGUUCAGAUUUCGAAGAAACUAUAAAUAUUUCGCAAACGCUCCUUAAAAGACAUCCAAAUUUUACUCUUCAUUCGAAAUUAAUGGAUGCUCAUUUAUAUGUUAUCAGAAGAUGGGUUUUAGAUUUUUUGAUGCAUAACAAAAACUUAACUACACUGAAAGGCGAACUUCUUCCAUAUAUCGUAAGUAAACAAUUUUCUAAGCCUCCUAAACAAUGCGUGGACGAUAAGAAUACUUCGCUGGUACAAGUAAACUUAAAAGAAGAUAUUUACCGCUUCGCGGUAGAAAAAUCACUGGACGAGUUGAUUAGAAAAAUGUCAGCGUAUAACGAUCGCAGUACCGAUUUAGAGGAUGGAUAUAACGGUGACAUAAUUAGAUGCUACGCUUAUAUUGGUAAUGGGAAAUUUGGUUUAAGAGCAAACACGAUACAAAUGUAUCACUUUAUUAAUACCAAGAUAUCCGAAUGGUGGAACGUCGAUAACAAUGUACAACCUCGUUUAAAGAACGUUUCACCUACAGCCACUGUACAUAGUACACAGAUACAAGGUUGCAGUAUAGAUGAUAAUUGUACGAUUUCUGAAAAAACCUCCUUGAGAGAAAGUCACCUUGGACCAAACACAGUUAUCGACUCUAAAACGAGAGUAUCUUACAGUACUGUAAUGGAAAAUGUGUGUAAUACAGAAUUGUAUAUUAUGCAAUUGUUGCUUCAUAGAAGAAGGUACAGAACUAAAAGAUUGCAUCGUUGGUCCUCAGCAUACUGUAACAGCUGGAAGUCAACAUUCUCGCGAAGUUCUCACGGAUCCGGAUAAGCUCAUAGAAAUUUAAUCGUUUAGAACAAACUAGACGAAUUAGUUGCUUAAAUUGAGGUUAUGAUUGAUCCGAAUCAACCUGAACGAAGGAACGUGUGGUUUUGGAACCGGACUGAACGUCUCUUUCUGUGUUGCUCCGUUG